Molecule: long non-coding RNA, 214 nt
Filed under: Elaeis guineensis (African oil palm)
Lineage: Eukaryota; Viridiplantae; Streptophyta; Magnoliopsida; Arecales; Arecaceae
Description: long non-coding RNA (EGUI_LNC013077)
Source: RNAcentral
CAAUUGAAGGGCUAAGUAAAUAAAGAAUAAUCAAAGGGCUAAAAAGCAAUGCUCCACUCAACGAUCAAGAUUUAUGAUGCCACUUCAUGAAAACACUAGAGAUUGGGUGCUACACCAAGAUCUAAGGGAUAGGAAGCAAGUUUUCUUGAUCCAAGUGCUAUCAUUCAAGGUGCCAACUCAUGAAGCCCUAUCCCCCUCUCUGCAUUCACACCUC